GCAUUUUGCUGGAGUGUCCACUUCUUAGAGGGACUUAUCGGUUUCCAAGCCGAUGGAAGUUUGAGGCAAUAACAGGUCUGUGAUGCCCUUAGACGUUCUGGGCCGCACGCGCGCUACACUGACGGAGCCAGCGAGUCUAACCUAGGCCGAGAGGUCUUGGUAAUCUUGUGAAACUCCGUCGUGCUGGGGAUAGAGCAUUGUAAUUGUUGCUCUUCAACGAGGAAUUCCUAGUAAGCGCAAGUCAUCAGCUUGCGUUGAUUACGUCCCUGCCCUUUGUACACACCGCCCGUCGCUAGUACCGAUUGAAUGG
RNAcentral lists this ribosomal RNA (310 nucleotides) under Arxiozyma slooffiae. RNAcentral's name for it is "SSU rRNA". It matches the Rfam family "Eukaryotic small subunit ribosomal RNA", at positions 1387 to 1696 of the family's 1831-position model. Lineage: Eukaryota; Fungi; Ascomycota; Saccharomycetes; Saccharomycetales; Saccharomycetaceae. The record is from RNAcentral.